RNAcentral lists this ribosomal RNA (253 nucleotides) under uncultured bacterium. RNAcentral's name for it is "partial 16S ribosomal RNA". It matches the Rfam family "Bacterial small subunit ribosomal RNA", at positions 524 to 776 of the family's 1533-position model. The record is from RNAcentral.
UACGUAGGUGGCAAGCGUUGUCCGGAUUUAUUGGGUUUAAAGGGUGCGUAGGCGGUUCCAUAAGUCAGUGGUGAAAUACAAUAGCUUAACUAUUGAGGUGCCAUUGAUACUGCGGAACUUGAGUACAGACGAGGUAGGCGGGAUUGACGGUGUAGCGGUGAAAUGCUUAGAUAUCGUCAAGAACACCGAUAGCGAAGGCAGCUUACUAGACUGUAACUGACGCUGAGGCACGAAAGUGUGGGGAUCAAACAGG